GCAAAUUAGCAUCAUAAAUAAGAAGCUUGGAAAGAGCUCUAUUGAAAUAACAAGGGUGAUGAUCUUGGAUUUCUUCUUGUAAUAAAUCCAAUUAGUUUUAAGGUAUCAGAUUCUGAUUGUGGCAUAUUGGUAUGUUAAACAAAGAGCGAAUGUUAGUCGUUUAGUGGUGUUUACAGCUUCUAUAAGCUCCAACAAAUCUACAGUAAGAUUUCUUUUGAAGGUUGAUGUAAAUAGCUUUUGCAGGAUAACAGACUAGCAGUUCAAGCAUGCUAAUCAAUCGGAUAGGCAAGACAUGCUUGUUGGUCUAAAUAUAGGUUUGAAUGUGUGUGAUUUAUCACCUGAUUUGUUGUAGCUGUUAUGAUGCUGAUUGGAAGCGUGAAGAUAAAAGCAAUAGCACUUGCAAAUAGAAGCCCCCACCAUGGCAUCUGAACUUGGUUAUUCAAGAAAAUGCAGAGGAUUAGGGAGACUGUGAGCGUCACCAGAAGCAAUGCAUUAAACCACCAAGAAGGUAUGUCUUUGUAUUUCCUCAUAAGUCUUGUGUGAAUAUCCUCCUUUCCCUUGUAUGAAGCACGGAAUCUUUCAUAGAUUUCCCUACACAUUGCAAGUAGACAAUAAAGACAAUCCUUUACCACGACUUUUGUAGUUAUUAACAAAUAAUUCUCAUCCAUAUUCAUAGUUCCAUUUAUUUAUGGAAGUUGCUGCUAAACAGCCGUAAAUAUGUAGCAGUUGAGGUGUCAAAAGUUUGGACAAGGUUAAAAUAGACUGACAAAUCAACUUUUGGGAUGAUAAAACAUGUAUAUUUCAUUUAAAAAAUUACUUGUAUAUUUUAAUUUCCUUGUCUGGGCUCUAGGUCGUAAAACAUAAGGAGCAAAUUUGACAAAAUAGUAGUACUGUGUCUUGAUAUAGUUAGCGUGUGUUUUACCUUCCGUAGAACAAUGCCACGUGUGUAAGAGUGGAUGCUAUAGUAGCAAAACCAAAACCGUAAGUGAGAGCAAAGAACAUGCUUAUAUGUAUUCUCCCUUGCUCCUCAUACUUUCCUAUAUCUAGCUCAAACUUGUCAUUCACGAUGGCUGAUAUAUCGUACUUCUGACCUUGUGCUGUGAAUAAGUGUGACGAGAAAAUGGGAAAUUUUCGAGCACCAUACAAGUCAAACCCCCAAUAUGCUAUUGGGAUCACCAUGUAUAUUAUCAACAUGUACCCUGCAAAGACAUUGACAAUGGCAAAGAAAGGGCAGAUGAGGGGGCUGAACAAGAAGGAUGCCACAGCAGACCAAUCCAGGGUUAUAGCUCCAAGUCCAAGGCCCCUCAUGCCUGAUCCAAUUUGCUGAGCUGUCACUGAUUUGGAGAAUGCCCAGCAGAUCCAUGAGAUGCUCGUGAGCGUUGAGAAGAGAUAUCCUGGUACUAGAUACCAGCAAAAGCUGCAUACUAAUGCAAUGAGGAAAAAUUUUGCUCGUGACAUGCGCCGAUCAUCUUUCUCAUGCAAGGCCCUGCAAAGAUCAAUCUGUGUUAAUGAUUUUCUGCACCUUUGAUCCGUUUGAGAAAGAAAAGCAUCUCAGUUGUUUUAUAUGAGAGCACAGCUGGAGAAAAGCUUUUCAACCAUCAGAUAGCUUGAAAUGAACGAGAAAAUUUGAAAUAGUAAUAGAAAACUUAUAAUGAAGAUGCAUAUAGCCAACCUUAACUUGCUUGGGAUUGAGAUGAAGUUGUUGAAUAGAAACUUACGAAAUGAUUAUGGGAAAUUUAAAAUAAAAAUUGGAUUUGUGAUUCGUCUGGUCAGGAAUUCCUGGGAAGAGGGUGAAGGGAAGAGAGAUACUAGACAUUCUUUUCCAGCUAUUGUCACGAUAAGCAGUAGAUAGAAACUAAGUUACAUGCAUGUGCGAGUACUUUAUCACAAAAAGAAAAGAAAAAACUUACAGCCAAGUGGGAGAUUCUUAUAGCUUUAACUGUAGAAGUGUGACUGUGAAACAAUGGUUUGCCAAUAAUCCAUCCUACAAAAAGAAAGGCUGUGUUCUUGUUUCUUUUGCAUGAUAUUUAUCAAGAAGAUGAGUUUGUGAAACUUGCAGAUGUUUGACUUGGUUUUAUGAUUCAGGUAGGAUUUUGGACUGGUUGUGGCAUUUCGAUGACACUAAUCAGGUCAUUGCUAAAUAUGUGCUAUACCAUUAAGGGAAUCAAUGUGCUUUGCUCCAAUGCAAAGUAGAUGGAGUUAGACUAGAGCUAAAUUGGACUGUAAUGACUUGAAUUUGGGAGCCUAUUUUAAUCUUCUAAUUCAGCUUAGAGAUGUCAGCAGGUGGACCAUCUUGGUUAUCGAAUGGCGCUCAACAGCGAAGGUAAAGGGAUGGCUUCAGAUUACAUCAUAAGUUCCUUCCCACUAUUGAAAUAUUAUCAUGCAAAAUUUUCAGUAUGCAUAGGUUUGUAAAUCGAACACAUUGUGAAAAAGUUUGAUUCUACUAACAGCCAACUGUGAAUACUAUGAAAAUAUUCAAUGUACAAAUGUAAAAUUCUCUCUUUGACAUGCGCCACCCCCUUUUCUUAGUAGCCUGUAAGUUGUUUCCUGUUUGGUUUGUCAUCCAUCAGUUAUUCUCAGAUUCUGGUUUUUC
Molecule: long non-coding RNA, 2593 nt
Filed under: Nicotiana tabacum (common tobacco)
Lineage: Eukaryota; Viridiplantae; Streptophyta; Magnoliopsida; Solanales; Solanaceae
Description: long non-coding RNA (NTAB_LNC011557)
Source: RNAcentral